UGGGGAAUAUUGCACAAUGGGCGAAAGCCUGAUCCAGCAAUACCGAGUGAGUGAUGAAGGCCCUAGGGUUGUAAAGCUCUUUUAGCAAGGAAGAUAAUGACGUUACUUGCAGAAAAAGCCCCGGCUAACUCCGUGCCAGCAGCCGCGGUAAGACGGAGGGGGCUAGCGUUGUUCGGAAUUACUGGGCGUAAAGAGUGCGUAGGCGGUUUAGUAAGUUGGAAGUGAAAGCCCGGGGCUUAACCUCGGAAUUGCUUUCAAAACUACUAAUCUAGAGUGUAGUAGGGGAUGAUGGAAUUCCUAGUGUAGAGGUGAAAUUCUUAGAUAUUAGGAGGAACACCGGUGGCGAAGGCGGUCAUCUGGGCUACAACUGACGCUGAUGCACGAAAGCGUGGGGAGCAAACA
This 402-nucleotide ribosomal RNA is filed under the name uncultured bacterium. RNAcentral describes it as "partial 16S ribosomal RNA". It matches the Rfam family "Bacterial small subunit ribosomal RNA", at positions 355 to 774 of the family's 1533-position model. The record is from RNAcentral.